This 377-nucleotide ribosomal RNA is filed under the name uncultured bacterium. RNAcentral describes it as "bacterial SSU rRNA". It matches the Rfam family "Bacterial small subunit ribosomal RNA", at positions 521 to 896 of the family's 1533-position model. The record is from RNAcentral.
UAAUACGUAGGGUGCGAGCGUUAAUCGGAAUUACUGGGCGUAAAGGGUGCGCAGGCGGUUAUAUAAGACAGAUGUGAAAUCCCCGGGCUCAACCUGGGAACUGCGUUUGUGACUGUAUGACUAGAGUACGGUAGAGAGGGGUGGAAUUCCUGGUGUAGCAGUGAAAUGCGUAGAUAUCAGGAGGAACAUCGAUGGCGAAGGCAGCCCCUUGGACCUGUACUGACGCUCAUGCACGAAAGCGUGGGGAGCAAACAGGAUUAGAUACCCUGGUAGUCCACGCCCUAAACGAUGAUCACUAGUUGUUCGGAAAGGUGACUUUCUGAGUAACGUAGCUAACGCGUGAAGUGAUCCGCCUGGGGAGUACGGUCGCAAGAUUA